UGGUGGUCAGUGGGUUAAGCAGCGACUAUGACGGCAGAAGCAGAGAUACCCGGGUUCUCGUUACAGCCCUCGACAAGCUAAGAGUCGAGAAAUUGCUACUAGCAGAAGCACUAAGCCCUGAUCUACUUUGCUAGAAGACAUGGACCAAGAGGGAAGUGUUUGAACAGCACAGAGCUUAGGUUAUUUUUACCUUCUGAAUCCAAUUCUCCCUGUGCUACAAGAGAACUGUUUGGUUCUGCAAACAUAUAUUGUAUCUAGGAUAUACUGCAACAUAUUUAACAUAUAUAGGACUGCUUGCCAUCUAGGGGAGGGGAUGGAGCGAGGGAGGGGAAAAAUUGGAACAGAAGCGAGUGCAAGGGUUAAUGUUGUAAAAAAAAAUUACCCUGGCAUGGGUUCUGUCAAUAAAAAGUUAUUAUUAAAAAAAUAAAUUAAUUAAAUUAAAUUUAAAAAAAAAGAAAGAAAAGUUAU
This is a long non-coding RNA of Antechinus flavipes (yellow-footed antechinus), 468 nucleotides long. RefSeq lists it as uncharacterized. The transcript has 3 exons. NCBI's taxonomy places the organism in Eukaryota, Metazoa, Chordata, Mammalia, Dasyuromorphia, Dasyuridae. The record is from RefSeq and is a predicted model, not a curated record.